CGGGAAUAAUAACAAGGGGGGCGGCCGAAAACACGUGGGUGACCUGCCCUCCACUUCGGGAUAAGCCUGGGAAACUGGGUCUAAUACCGGAUAUGACCAUGGGAUGCAUGUUCUGUGGUGGAAAGUUUUUCGGUGGGGGAUGGGCCCGCGGUCUAUCAGCUUGUUGGUGGGGUGAUGGCCUACCAAGGCGACGACGGAUAGCCGGCCUGAGAGGGUGAUCGGCCACACUGGGACUGAGACACGGCCCAGACUCCUACGGGAGGCAGCAGUGGGGAAUCUUGCGCAAUGGGCGGAAGCCUGACGCAGCAACGCCGCGUGAGGGAUGACGGCCUUCGGGUUGUAAACCUCUUUCGCGAUCGACGAAGCUCCGGUUUUUGCUGGGGUGACGGUAGGUCGAGAAGAAGCACCGGCCAACUACGUGCCAGCAGCCGCGGUAAUACGUAGGGUGCGAGCGUUGUCCGGAAUUAUUGGGCGUAAAGAGCUCGUAGGCGGUGUGUCGCGUCGGCCGUGAAAACCUGGGGCUUAACUCUGGGCGUGCGGUCGAUACGGGCAUCACUAGAGUUCGGCAGGGGAGACUGGAAUUCCUGGUGUAGCGGU
Molecule: ribosomal RNA, 597 nt
Filed under: bacterium
Lineage: Bacteria
Description: bacterial SSU rRNA
Rfam family: Bacterial small subunit ribosomal RNA
Source: RNAcentral